CAAUUAAAAAGUUUUUGGCACAAUUAGACUGCCUUUCAUGCACAGUUUGAGAAACAGUAGAUUCUAAUCCUGUUUUCAGUUAAGAUAAUAAUUUUCUGGCCUUCAGCCUCAUGACCCAGUAGCCAUAAGGAAUCUCAAUUAUUUUACUUAGAUUUGUCACUGCAUGGUUGGAAGAGAGAAAUGGGGAUAUUUAUGUAAACACGCUGUUCUAGAACAACUAAGAUUAAUGACAAAUUUUUUAUGUCUUCCAGGGUGAACAAGGAUUUCCAGGACUUCCAGGGACACCAGGAUACCCAGGGAUCACAGGUCCUACUGGUUUGAAAGGACAAAAGGGUGCUCCCGCUGAAGGAGAAGAUUUAGAACUCAAUGGAAAAGGAGACCCGGGGUUGCCCGGAUUCCCAGGAUUCCAGGGUUUUCCAGGCCCACCAGGUUUUCCCGGGCCCGCUGGCCCUCCUGGUCCUCCGGGACUCUUUGUGAGUAUAACGUCAUCAUUGCUAUUGAUUCUAGAGAAAUUAAUAAUAGCAAAACAUUUUUAA
RNAcentral lists this long non-coding RNA (536 nucleotides) under Fukomys damarensis (Damara mole-rat). RNAcentral's name for it is "lncRNA (ENSFDAG00000026331.1)". Lineage: Eukaryota; Metazoa; Chordata; Mammalia; Rodentia; Bathyergidae. The record is from RNAcentral.